This 441-nucleotide ribosomal RNA is filed under the name uncultured bacterium. Its description in RNAcentral is "partial 16S ribosomal RNA". It matches the Rfam family "Bacterial small subunit ribosomal RNA", at positions 338 to 795 of the family's 1533-position model. The record is from RNAcentral.
CCUACGGGAGGCAGCAGUGGGGAAUAUUGCACAAUGGACGAGAGCCUGAUGCAGCCACGCCGCGUGAAUGAGGACGUAUUUCUGUGUGUUAAGCUCUAUCAACAGAGAAUAGAAACGAGGGUACCUUACCAAGAAGCACCUGCUAACUACGUACCAACAGCCGCGGUAAUACGUAGGAUGCAAGCGUUAUCCGGAUUUACUGGGUGUAAAGGGAGCGUAGACGGAAAGACAAGUCAGAAGUGAAAGUCAAAGGCUCAACCAUGGGACUGCUUUUGAUACUGGCAAUCUAGAGUACUGUAGAGGUAAGAGGAAUUCGUGGUGUAGCGGUGAAAUGCGUAGAUAUUAGGAGGAACACCAGUUGCGAAGGCGUCUUACUGAACUGAAACUGACGUUGAGGCUCGAAAGUGUGGGGAGCAAACAGGAUUAGAUACCCUAGUAGUC